UCUUACAGCCUUCAUCAGAAAAGUUCAACUCCAUUCACGGACUGUUUUGGACAACUUAAACAUUUUAGUUUUCAAAACUGUUUUAGGUGCAAGUAGUUCCAAUUCUUAGCUUUAAAAUGACUACUUACACAUCUCCAUACGAUUUUUCUACAAUUUAUGGUGAUUUUUACAAAACUGCCUAUCAUUUCAAACAUCAAUCCGGACCAGUCUGUGAUUAUGGACUUUUUCACACAAGUAAGAGGUCAUUAAAAUUUAUAAUAAAAAUUAUGAACAAACUAGACUCAUUUUCCAAACUCUCAGAAUUUACGGAUUCUGAUUUGCACCUUUAGUUAUUUUUCUAUGAAUUUUCUAAAAACAGAAUAGAAAUGGCAAUACUAGAAAAAUGUUUUCAAUUUCAUAUACACCUUGUAACUUGUUGAGCAAGGUGUGUACCUUCAUGUGAUGAUAUGUUAUUACCAUAUAUGUCAUCUUGUCUUAUUAUAUAGACAUACAUCAGAAAACAAAUGGAUUCUUACCUCCAUAAGUAUGGUAAAUAUAUAAAUGAUAUUACAAGGCUAUAUCCAUUAAAAUACAAACAUUGGUAAACUAUGACAAGUAAGGCUUAUGCUCACUACCCAAACAAAUAUUUAAUAAACUAUAAUAGGUAUAGUUUAGGGUUCUUUUACAUAACAAACACAUUAUUAAAGGUAUUACACAUACAAAAGAGUUAUUACCACUAUGAAUAAUUAUGAUAAACUAUAAUAAGUAUAGUUAAGCCAUUAUACCCCCACAAACGAACACGCUAGUUAUAAUCGGUAUAGUUAUGGCAUUCAUAUAUUACAAACAAAGUGAUAAACUAUAAUAGGUAUAGUUUAUGUUUCAUCUACACUACGAACUUAAUUACAAGAAAGGAAUUCACCAUCACCACCACUUUUGAUAAGCUAUAAUAUGCAUAGUUCAUGUUCACUACCACUAUCACUAUUUGAUGAACUAUGAUAUGUAUAGGUUAUAUUCACCAUCACCACCACUUUUGAUAAGCUAUAAUAUGCAUAGUUCAUGUUCACUACCACUAUCACUAUUUGAUGAACUAUGAUAUGUAUAGGUUAUAUUCACCAU
Molecule: long non-coding RNA, 1095 nt
Filed under: Lactuca sativa (garden lettuce)
Lineage: Eukaryota; Viridiplantae; Streptophyta; Magnoliopsida; Asterales; Asteraceae
Description: long non-coding RNA (LSAT_LNC003573)
Source: RNAcentral